This 246-nucleotide long non-coding RNA is filed under the name Pan troglodytes (chimpanzee). Its description in RNAcentral is "long non-coding RNA NONPTRT000650". Lineage: Eukaryota; Metazoa; Chordata; Mammalia; Primates; Hominidae. The record is from RNAcentral.
UUUUAAUUCUCAUUUGGUCUUGGUUAUACAAGAUAAAGGUUAAUGGAAUUCUUCCAAGUAGAUUUCAGAAUUUCAAAAGCAUAGGUAUACAUCAUAUUUAUUUCUCACUGCACCCCGGGGAGGUAGCUAUUACAGACAUUUAUAGGAUAUUACUGUAUUAACUAUUAAUAAUAUCUUGAUAUAGAGUUACAUUCAAAAGUAUGAAAAGCCAAUACUGAAUUUCCUCAAAAGUAAAUCAUCAUUAGC